RNAcentral lists this transfer-messenger RNA (344 nucleotides) under Clostridium sp. It matches the Rfam family "transfer-messenger RNA". From Rfam's summary of the family: Bacterial tmRNA, also known as 10Sa RNA or SsrA, is named for its dual tRNA and mRNA-like properties. Its role is to liberate the mRNA from a stalled ribosome. The record is from RNAcentral. Lineage: Bacteria; Bacillati; Bacillota; Clostridia; Eubacteriales; Clostridiaceae. RNAcentral also lists the same sequence under 6 other names.
GGGCUUGUACUGGUUUCGACGGGGGCUAUGAAGCUGGUGAAGCUAUCCGCAUGCGAUGCGUUAAAUGGCAAACCUAAAUAUAAACGCUAACGACGAAUUAGCAUACGCAGCCUAAUUUAGGCGGCUGUCGGCCCCGGCGGACCUGCACUCCGGGUAACCGGCAUCAUUAAUUGCAGGAAACGACACGUGCAAAGCUUUGAGCACGCGGGCGUAGGAUGAAGCUACUGAACGUACCAGGAUGUCUGUUUCCGGGUACGGGAGGGAAUGUCAAAGAACAGACUAUGAUAGUAGAAGAACAGGGGAUUGGUUUUCGGACAGGGGUUCGAUUCCCCUCAGGUCCACGA